Long non-coding RNA from Phacochoerus africanus (Common warthog), 2743 nucleotides. RefSeq lists it as uncharacterized. The record is from RefSeq and is a predicted model, not a curated record. NCBI's taxonomy places the organism in Eukaryota, Metazoa, Chordata, Mammalia, Artiodactyla, Suidae. The transcript has 4 exons.
CCCUCUCCUCCUCCUCGCCUCUCCUCCUUGCCUGGGAGUCCCUCAGGAUCAACAAAACCAGCGGCGAAUGUUUCAAUACUAGUCCUUGCGUGGACCGGGUGGAGAGAGGGAGGUGAAGGAGGGAGCAGAAAACAGUCCUUGAUACAGAAAUUUCCAGAAUGUCCAAAAGCUACUCUGCCGAACACAUCUCAUCUCAUGGCUGCCAUGCAGUGGAAGAGUUUCUGGUUGCGGGAGGACAGGACACGUGACGAGCAGGUCCACCUGCAGGACACAGUUCUAUGGGCAUCUCAGAAGUGCGUGUGGACCACAGCUGUAAUUCCCUCACCCAGGAAAACAAAGCAGAUCGCAAGUGUGUGCUGGUGACAACACGUUUCGAAUAAUCUUGCAUCAGGUACCUCGCGGGGUAGCUUGCGGUUCCUUCCGACGCGUCUUGGAGACUCGACAUGGAGGUAAGAGCAAAGUGACUUCCCAGAUGAUACGGAGCCAUGUUCUCCAGCUGUCUCCGUGCACUCGGAUUACUGGGAUCCGGUUCAAAGGCCGAUCCUGAGACCCUGAGCUGGCAGGGCUCGGGUGGGCCUGAGGUCCUGCAACUCCAACAAGCUUCCAGGUGAUGGCGCUACUGCAAGGCCCGCCGACCACACACGGAGUCAGGAUGCAGAGAGGUUUGGUCGGUUUCUGGAACUCCCAGACCUGCUGCUUUGGAGGCGAGGAGGGGAGGGGAGUGGUCUUCCUACAACUUAGGUUCAUGGGACCUGGGGUGGCUGAGAUGGACAUUCCAGAGACAGCCGGGUUGAAGGACCUGGAAGGUGCCUUUCAAUUAAGUGAUUUAGGACCUGAAAACUGCCUGGGCACUUAUCCUGCGGGGGAUCUGAGGACCUAAUGAGAAGAUGCUGAAGGAAUUCUACAGGUUACAUUGUGGACGUCAUCCCGCGUGCCAAGCCCUUCCAUCAAUUCUCUCCUUUCGUCCUUGCAAAGAUCCUGUACAUGAUCCAAGAGGUCCCCUAUGGCCCCAUUCUGUAGAUGGGAAGACAGAAGCCCAGGGAAGUUGGAGGCAAGCCCAAGGUCCCACAGCUGGGAGUUGACCUGGCUUUUGGGCUCCCAGCCUGGGCUGCUCAUCACUGUCCUGUGCAGUGAUCCUUCCUGGAUCCUGCAGACCCUUGAGAUGGUGUCCUGACCUCCCAGCCACGCUCUUGCCUUCCAGGCGUAGCAGAGUGAUGGGAAAACCCAGAUGUGGGGCCGGGAGUCCUUAGAUGUGGCCGCCCCCUGCCCCCACUGUCCCCUCUCUCUGCUCUGCUUGGCUCCAGCCUUUCACAGGGAGUUGUGACUCCCGCCACAGGAUGACAAGCACAGGCUCCUCUUCAGCUUUUAACGCAGCAGGGGGCUGCUUGGCGGGCAGCACUGGCUGUGGUGGAGGGGACAUUGCCACUUUCCUCUAAGGAUGCUGCAGCCACCGCAGGAGGAAAGGGAAGAUCCCUGCACGUGGAAGAAGAGGCUGGGGUCCCAGGGAGGAGGAGGGGGCAGCCAGUUUCGCAGGGUAGGUCGUGGCAUUGCCUGAAUACACACCCCCGAAGUGCGGGCUGUGGGAUCAACAAUUUUUUCUCAUCAUUUCAGGUCAAGAUGCAUAGCCCUGCCUUCUCGCUGCCAACUUUUACCUCCAAGCCUUCCCUCAAAUUGCCUCUCCCUAUCCAAAGCCUCCAGCCCUCCCUGCUGCAUUCCUUUGGCCAGCCCAGCAUCCAGAACAAGAGCCUGACCCCCUCAAAAGGGGAGAACCUUGCUCCACAGUUGGCUCUUGAUAGCAAGCAGCAGGCUCCCGGGAUGGGAGUGCAGCCUUGCGAGUGGUUAAGGAUGGGCUGGUUAAGGAGCAGGUGGGCACCCUCUCAGGCCACUGGCUGGUAGACACUUCUCCAGCUGGGGCUUCAGGCUGCUGAUGGCUUUACCUGCCCCCCCAACCCCCCCCAAAGCAUCACAGCAGGGAUCCCUGGUCCCUCGGAUGCCCUUUGCCUGCUGAGAGAGGCAAUCCCCACAGAGGUCCAGGCAAUAGCUUCAUCCCUGGAAAAAAACGAGGCAGACUCCAGGAGAAGCAAAUAAGCCAAUUAAGAGCCCGGCCCAUUCUGGCAGCGGGGGCAGUGCCGGCUCUCAUCUUGCAAGGCGUGAGCGGCUCAGGCUGCUGGGAAGGUACAACGCGUCCCAAUUACACUCUCCUCUGCGACAGGCGGUGUCAAAAGAUGAGAGAAAUCAAACCAAGUGGCUCUCCAGCAGCCCCUCCCCCACGAACGAGAGCCACUGCGUGGCGGCGAUUAUGGUACCAAGGUAGUGGUUAGAAAGGUCAGUUCCGAGGGGCCCGCGCCUGCUGCAGUUGCCUUCACUAGCCGAGCAUCAGCGCUGCGUCUGGGCGGCCUUGUCUGGGCUCCUCCAAUUCAUUUUCUUCUUUGUUGGCACAGCCGAGCAGAAGAAAACACAUUAAGCUCCUCUCCCUCCGCAGACUUCCUGCCCUGCCGUGCCCAGCCCUUCCCCAUCAGGACACUUGGUGUCCAUGGCACAGGCGAGUGCUGACCUGCUACCCGCACGAGAGCCUGGGGAACAGAAUAGAGGGGGCAGAGAUGGUUGGGAAGGGAUGUUUGAAAGCAAAGCCUGGAAGCAACUCCGAGAGCCUCUCCUCCAGACAGAGAACUAGGCAUCGGUGGAAGAAGGAAGACCAGGAGCUCCUGUCGUGGCGCAGUGGUUAAUGAACCGGACUAGUAUC